CACGGUUGUUCACAGUUCCAAUGAUCAGCUUUUUGACGGCUGCUUCUUACUAAAUAGAAAUUAAAGAGAUCGAUAAUGGCAGCUCGUGCUGGAUGUAACUGGUAGUCGCGGGAAGCGGCUGUGGUUGCUGCUAUUGAUCUCUGCCUUUGAUCCAUGCUUUGGUUUUUUUCACUCUAUCUCAUUUGAGAUUUCGAGAACAUACGGAGGAUCCGACCUCUGGCCGGCUGGCCGCAAUAGUACGCAGGAGCGAGCAAGAGUGAACGAAGAGCAGUGAACAAGAAUGCCGCAGUUGGAAGUCAAGACUCCAGGCUCG
This 313-nucleotide unclassified non-coding RNA is filed under the name Hevea brasiliensis (rubber tree). The record is from RNAcentral. Lineage: Eukaryota; Viridiplantae; Streptophyta; Magnoliopsida; Malpighiales; Euphorbiaceae.